Molecule: ribosomal RNA, 330 nt
Filed under: uncultured bacterium
Lineage: Bacteria
Description: bacterial SSU rRNA
Rfam family: Bacterial small subunit ribosomal RNA
Source: RNAcentral
UGUGUAGGCGGUUCUCCAAGUUUGGUGUGAAAUCUCCCGGCUCAACCGGGAGGGUGCGCCGAAAACUGGGGGGCUAGAGUGCGGGAGGGGAGAGUGGAAUUCCUGGUGUAGCGGUGAAAUGCGUAGAUAUCAGGAGGAACACCGGUGGUGUAGACGGCUCUCUGGACCGUAACUGACGCUGAGACACGAAAGCGUGGGUAGCAAACAGGAUUAGAUACCCUGGUAGUCCACGCCCUAAACGAUGCAUAUUUGGUGUAGGUCAUUCAGUUGAUCUGUGCCGGAGCUAACGCGUUAAAUAUGCCGCCUGGGGAGUACAGUCGCAAGGCUGAA